Molecule: unclassified non-coding RNA, 355 nt
Filed under: soil metagenome
Description: partial contains 5.8S ribosomal RNA, internal transcribed spacer 2, and large subunit ribosomal RNA
Rfam family: 5.8S ribosomal RNA (bases 1-120)
Source: RNAcentral
GAUGAAGAACGCAGCGAAAUGCGAUAAGUAGUGUGAAUUGCAGAAUUCAGUGAAUCAUCGAAUCUUUGAACGCACAUUGCGCCUUCUAGUAUUCUGGGAGGCAUGCCUGUUUGAGCGUCAUUAAACCUCUCUCAAGUAUGAUUACUUGGAUGUGAAGGAAGAGUACCUUAAACUUAAGGAGUGUUCUCCUUUGAAAUUGAUUAGCAGAUGGUAAUGUUAUUAAAUCCCUGAUGUUGUAAGGAAUAACAGUGGUUUUGUAGACUAUUAUCUAGCUUUAAAUUAUAAUUUUUAUUAUGGUUGACCUCAAAUCAGGUAAGGAUACCCGCUGAACUUAAGCAUAUCAAUAAGCGGAGGA